AUUGAACGCUGGCGGCAGGCCUAACACAUGCAAGUCGAGCGCGAAAGCAUUUCGGUGUGAGUAGAGCGGCGGACGGGUGAGUAACGCGUAGGAAUCUACCUAGUAGUGGGGGACAACUCGGGGAAACUCGAGCUAAUACCGCAUAAGCCAUACGGGGGAAAGCGGGGGACCUUCGGGCCUCGUGCUAUUAGAUGAGCCUGCGUUGGAUUAGCUAGUUGGUGGGGUAAAGGCCUACCAAGGCGACGAUCCAUAGCUGGUCUGAGAGGAUGAUCAGCCACACCGGGACUGAGACACGGCCCGGACUCCUACGGGAGGCAGCAGUGGGGAAUAUUGUGCAAUGGGCGAAAGCCUGACGCAGCCAUGCCGCGUGUGUGAAGAAGGCCUUCGGGUUGUAAAGCACUUUCAAUUGGGAGGAAAGGUUCACGGUUAAUAACCGUGAGCUGUGACGUUACCUUUAGAAGAAGCACCGGCUAACUCCGUGCCAGCAGCCGCGGUAAUACGGAGGGUGCGAGCGUUAAUCGGAAUUACUGGGCGUAAAGCGCGCGUAGGUGGUCUGUUAAGUCGGAUGUGAAAGCCCCGGGCUCAACCUGGGAAUUGCCUUCGAUACUGGCAGACUAGAGUGCGAGAGAGGGAGGUAGAAUUCCAUGUGUAGCGGUGAAAUGCGUAGAUAUGUGGAGGAAUACCAGUGGCGAAGGCGGCUCCUGGCUCGACACUGA
This 716-nucleotide ribosomal RNA is filed under the name gamma proteobacterium IMCC14761. RNAcentral's name for it is "bacterial SSU rRNA". It matches the Rfam family "Bacterial small subunit ribosomal RNA", at positions 28 to 743 of the family's 1533-position model. Lineage: Bacteria; Pseudomonadati; Pseudomonadota; Gammaproteobacteria. The record is from RNAcentral.